ACUCCUACGGGAGGCAGCAGUAGGGAAUCUUCCACAAUGGACGCAAGUCUGAUGGAGCAACGCCGCGUGAGUGAAGAAGGUUUUCGGAUCGUAAAGCUCUGUUGUAAGAGAAGAACGUGUGUGAGAGUGGAAAGUUCACACAGUGACGGUAACUUACCAGAAAGGGACGGCUAACUACGUGCCAGCAGCCGCGGUAAUAC
This 200-nucleotide ribosomal RNA is filed under the name uncultured bacterium. Its description in RNAcentral is "partial 16S ribosomal RNA". It matches the Rfam family "Bacterial small subunit ribosomal RNA", at positions 335 to 526 of the family's 1533-position model. The record is from RNAcentral.